UACGAAGGGGGCUAGCGUUGUUCGGAAUUACUGCGCGUAAAGCGCGCGCAGGCGGUCUUCCAAGUCAGUGGUGAAAGCCCGGAGCUCAACUCCGGAACUGCCAUUGAAACUGUUGGACUUGAGUACGAGAGAGGUGAGUGGAAUUCCCAGUGUAGAGGUGAAAUUCGUAGAUAUUGGGAAGAACACCGGUGGCGAAGGCGGCUCACUGGCUCGUAACUGACGCUCAGGCGCGACAGCGUGGGGAUCAAACAGG
RNAcentral lists this ribosomal RNA (253 nucleotides) under uncultured bacterium. RNAcentral's name for it is "partial 16S ribosomal RNA". It matches the Rfam family "Bacterial small subunit ribosomal RNA", at positions 524 to 776 of the family's 1533-position model. The record is from RNAcentral.